Molecule: long non-coding RNA, 1204 nt
Filed under: Numida meleagris (helmeted guineafowl)
Lineage: Eukaryota; Metazoa; Chordata; Aves; Galliformes; Numididae
Description: lncRNA (ENSNMEG00000008865.1)
Source: RNAcentral
AUGUUGUCUCUGUCAAGAGAAAUGUGUCUGAUAUGCACUGGACAGAUCUCUGAAGAAAUAAAGGUUUUAUUUUCCCGUUCAUGUCUUUCACCUGAUGUUCAGAUUCACAGCUGCAGCAGUGUCACAGCACCUAACUUCAGUAUUCCUCACGUGGCUGUCUGCAAGCAGCUUCUGAGCAUGUUUCUCGCUCCCCAGUUUCAGACAUCAGCUUGGACCCAGGAUGUGUCACAGCUCAGUCCCCCUUGCCCAGACUGACUGGUUCCCGAUGCAGUGUGGAGGGAGCUGAUAGAUGUCAGCUAAGAUAGAAAACUGCGUUCAGCUGGAUGAAUCUCCCACUGGAUAUUCAGCUGUCUGCCAGUGAUUUGUAUUGAUUUUCCCAGAUACAUUCUUUCUUAUCUGGUCUUUCAUAAAUGCUUUCUUGAUGCCACAUUUCCUUUGCUUUUGAUGGAUAUGCUUUUACUUUCCCGUGUCAGAAUGCUCUUUGAACAGCCUGUAACUACGAAACUCCUCUGUCUCACCAUUCAAAAAGGCAGUGAUAGCUAGCUCGCCUGGGCAGAAAACUCUCCCGUAAAUAGCAUGCUUAUUUGGCAAGGGGUGGUUUUGUUAGGCGGGGAAGACAUUUCAUGGCAAUUUUGAUCACUAGAUAUUUAGGUUCAGAAAUAUCUUUAUCCACUUUGGGAAUGCACUUCCUGUUUUGACUUGCACUCUAAAUAUAUAUAAUUUUUAAAUUACAGGUUUACGUCAAGAGAACAAUUUAGUCAAGUAUUACUUUCCUUGGAGAACACAUCCUUGUUGUUACUCACAAAUUAUGGCAUGCAUUCAGGCAUAAAGAAUGUACGGAUAUAUUAAUCGGAAACCAUGAUCCCCAUUACGGGUUUUCUGUAGGAAACAGCUCUUCUGGAUGUGGGGACAACUGAUACUAAGCAGCUAACAUAAAUUGCAAAGGAGGCCUGGCCUGAUUGGAGGUGCAGGGGGUUAGUGGUUACAGGACCUCACAGGACAAGAGGAUACGACAGAGAUUUUGGAGGAUCCAGUUAAUACCCUGACAUCUCCUUGUAUUACGAAAGAUUUGCAUAUAGUCUCUUAGUACAGCAUAGCUGAGAGAGCCCAUUGUCAGGGUGUUAGGGCAGAGUGUUUACACCUUCUGAGAAGAAAAAUUACAUUGUCAGCGAAAGGAAAUAAAUAGGUAAUGUUACAGGGUGCA